UGUCCACACACCUAGAGACACAUCGGAGUUGCAGCAUUUCCUGCUGGAAGGCAAAUGCAUUGCCCUGACCUGGUUCUUCUUUGCCAAGGAAGGGAAUGUGUGAGCUGAAUCCUGCAAGGAAGGGGCACUGGGCAAGACGCGUCCUAUUUGUCAGGAGUUUGCAUUCACAAAGAAGGACUAAAGCAGCUUCUCUAGGGCAAGCUCCUUCCAGGGCUGAGGCCAGCCGAGACCAUGGGGGGAAGACCCCAGACUGUCUUCAUGGUGAAGAGAGACGUCUGCUCCGAUUUGCACAGGGAGUUUUUUAGCAUCGGGAACAAAAGCAGCGUUUCUAUUCCCCAGUCUUCACAACAGCAGCUUACCAUUCCUGGCACAUCUCUGUCCUCUGCUUCCUGCAUUUUAAAACCUUUGCUAAUACCACCCUACCUAUUCUCCCCGAGUCCAAAUCCGGAAGAAAAUAAUAUGCUGCUUAUAA
RNAcentral lists this long non-coding RNA (472 nucleotides) under Homo sapiens (human). RNAcentral's name for it is "HSALNT0245624". The record is from RNAcentral. Lineage: Eukaryota; Metazoa; Chordata; Mammalia; Primates; Hominidae.